RNAcentral lists this transfer RNA (87 nucleotides) under Prevotella sp. Its description in RNAcentral is "tRNA-Ser". It matches the Rfam family "tRNA". Rfam says of the family: Transfer RNA (tRNA) molecules are approximately 80 nucleotides in length. Their secondary structure includes four short double-helical elements and three loops (D, anti-codon, and T loops). Further hydrogen bonds mediate the characteristic L-shaped molecular structure. tRNAs have two regions of fundamental functional importance: the anti-codon, which is responsible for specific mRNA codon recognition, and the 3' end, to which the tRNAs corresponding amino acid is attached (by aminoacyl-tRNA synthetases). tRNAs cope with the degeneracy of the genetic code in two manners: having more than one tRNA (with a specific anti-codon) for a particular amino acid; and 'wobble' base-pairing, i.e. permitting non-standard base-pairing at the 3rd anti-codon position. Lineage: Bacteria; Pseudomonadati; Bacteroidota; Bacteroidia; Bacteroidales; Prevotellaceae. RNAcentral also lists the same sequence under 1 other name. The record is from RNAcentral.
GGAAGGUUGGCAGAGUGAACGAAUGCGCCGGACUCGAAAUCCAGUAUACCACUUGUGGUAUCGGGGGUUUGAAUCCCUCACCUUCCG